RNAcentral lists this ribosomal RNA (468 nucleotides) under uncultured bacterium. RNAcentral describes it as "partial 16S ribosomal RNA". It matches the Rfam family "Bacterial small subunit ribosomal RNA", at positions 28 to 507 of the family's 1533-position model. The record is from RNAcentral.
GACGAACGCUGGCGGCGUGCUUAACACAUGCAAGUCGAACGGAAAGGCCCUGCUUUUGUGGGGUGCUCGAGUGGCGAACGGGUGAGUAGCACGUGUGUAACCUGUCCUUGACUUUGGGAUAACUUCAGGAAACUGGGGCUAAUACCGGAUAGGAGCUCCUGCUGCAUGGUGGGGGUUGGAUGGUUUCGGUGGUUGGAGAUGGACUCGCGGCCUAUCAGCUUGUUGCUGGGGUAGUGUCUUACCAAGCCUUGGACGCCUAGCCGGCCUGAGAGGGUGACCGGCCACAUUGGACCUGAGAUGCGACCCGGACUCCAACGGGAGGCAGCGGAGGAGAAUAGUGCACAAUGGAAGGAAGCCUGAUGCAGCAACGCCACGUGCGGGAAGACGGCCUUCGGGUAGUAAACCACUUUCGCCUGUGACGAGGAGUGAGUGACGGUAAUGGGUAAAGAAGCACCGGCUAACUACGUG